CCUACGGGAGGCAGCAGUGAGGAAUAUUGGUCAAUGGACGAGAGUCUGAACCAGCCAAGUAGCGUGAAGGAUGACUGCCCUAUGGCUUGUAAACUUCUUUUAUCAGGGACUAAAACGAGGCACGUGUGCCUUUUUGCAUGUACUUUAUGAAUAAGAAUCGGCUAACUCCGUGCCAGCAGCCGCGGUAAUACGGAGGAUCCGAGCGUUUUCCGGAUUUUUUGGGUUUAAGGGGUGCGUAGCUGGGUGGUUAAGUAAGUUGGGAAAGUUUGGGGCACAACCGGAAAAGUGCAAUUGAUACUGGCAGUCUUGAGUACAGGUGAGGUAGGCGGAAUGCGUGGUGUAGCGGUGAAAUGCUUAGAUAUCACGAAGAACCCCGAUUGCGAAGGCAGCUUACUAAACUGUGACUGACAUUGAUGCUCGAAAGUGUGGGUAUCAAACAGGAUUAGAUACCCGAGUAGUC
RNAcentral lists this ribosomal RNA (460 nucleotides) under uncultured bacterium. RNAcentral describes it as "partial 16S ribosomal RNA". It matches the Rfam family "Bacterial small subunit ribosomal RNA", at positions 338 to 795 of the family's 1533-position model. The record is from RNAcentral.